This is a long non-coding RNA of Parus major (Great Tit), 292 nucleotides long. RefSeq lists it as uncharacterized. The record is from RefSeq and is a predicted model, not a curated record. The transcript has 2 exons. NCBI's taxonomy places the organism in Eukaryota, Metazoa, Chordata, Aves, Passeriformes, Paridae.
GCCACAGCAGCACAGAGCAGCCUGCAAGGGCACCGCACUGGGAAAAGGAGAGGUGCCUUCCAGAUUCAGCUCAGGGAGACGCUGUUCUCUGAGCUACAAACACAGCAGUCAAGACACUGAUUGAUGGUUGUUCCCUGGUGCUGCAGAGACUGGUGGAUGCACCUGGUUUGUUGUGACGUGUAAGUCUGGGCAGAUGCUGGCUCUGAAAACAAUUUACCUGUAUUUGAUUGACUCCCCUGUUUAUUCAUCAAAGCCUUUAGAAUAAAGUCCGGACAAGUGUUUUAGUGCUGAA